RNAcentral lists this unclassified non-coding RNA (435 nucleotides) under Hevea brasiliensis (rubber tree). The record is from RNAcentral. Lineage: Eukaryota; Viridiplantae; Streptophyta; Magnoliopsida; Malpighiales; Euphorbiaceae.
UGAUUUUUUUUAUUUGGACUUCUUGAGAAGGGAUUACACUAAAGUUACUUCUAAUUGUUGCACUUAGUUUGAUGUUUGAUAACUUCUCCCUCUGCUGUUAAUGCCAAAUAUGACUCUAGCUAUCAUUCAUAAUUAGUUAGAAAUUUAGAAUGCACAUGUUCAUUCCUGUAUUCAUUCUAGAAAUGCGUGAAUUUGUCCUGAAUUAUUGUGUUCUGGUGUUUGUGUUGUACAUUCAUGGUUCUUCCCAUUACUCUUUUCAUCUCCUCUCUUGUGAAGCAUAUGAUUAGACUAAAUGAAAUGAUUGUGCCUAAGUAUCCCUUUCCCUGAAACAGAUGGAAUACCUGAUUAUUUGAUUCUAACCAGUUUUAAUAGUUUCUGUUGUCCUUUGGCUUGAGAUGUGUGCAUCUCUUAAACCCCCCGCACCCCUCCCCCCCC